AGUGAACGCUGGCGGUAGGCCUAACACAUGCAAGUCGAACGGCAGCACAGUAAGAGCUUGCUCUUACGGGUGGCGAGUGGCGGACGGGUGAGGAAUACAUCGGAAUCUACUUUUUCGUGGGGGAUAACGUAGGGAAACUUACGCUAAUACCGCAUACGACCUACGGGUGAAAGCAGUGGAGCUUCGGACCUUGCGCGAUUGAAUGAGCCGAUGUCGGAUUAGCUAGUUGGCUGGGUAAAGGCCCACCAAGGCGACGAUCCGUAGCGGAUCUGAGAGGAUGAUCAGCCACACUGGAACUGAGACACGGUCCAGACUCCUACGGGAGGCAGCAGUGGGGAAUAUUGGACAAUGGGCGCAAGCCUGAUCCAGCCAUACCGCGUGGGUGAAGAAGGCCUUCGGGUUGUAAAGCCCUUUUGUUGGGAAAGAAAAGCAGCAGGUUAAUACCCCGCUGUUCUGACGGUACCCAAAGAAUAAGCACCGGCUAACUUCGUG
RNAcentral lists this ribosomal RNA (492 nucleotides) under uncultured bacterium. RNAcentral describes it as "partial 16S ribosomal RNA". It matches the Rfam family "Bacterial small subunit ribosomal RNA", at positions 29 to 507 of the family's 1533-position model. The record is from RNAcentral.